GAUGCAUUAUUUUUCCUCCUCUUCCAUUUAAAGGUGACAAUGGAUCGGGUUGGCUUGGGCUUUGGAUUAAGAGAAUAUAAAAUAUUGGUACUACUUCGGUAUCAUGAUACAAGUUCAUCCUUAGCCAACCUAUCUAGUUCAUAUCUAUUGGGAGGUUAGAUUAUUAGAUAUAUGUCUUAAAAGUCAAUAUGACUAACACAUUAUAAUAAAUUUAGGACACAAUUUUAUACUUAAUACACUGAUUUGAUCAAUAAAAUGAUAAAUUUAUUUUUCAUUCAAGUGUGAUGUAUCUUUGAAUCGUCCA
Molecule: long non-coding RNA, 304 nt
Filed under: Elaeis guineensis (African oil palm)
Lineage: Eukaryota; Viridiplantae; Streptophyta; Magnoliopsida; Arecales; Arecaceae
Description: long non-coding RNA (EGUI_LNC080512)
Source: RNAcentral